Non-coding RNA from Salmo salar (Atlantic salmon), 54 nucleotides. Lineage: Eukaryota; Metazoa; Chordata; Actinopteri; Salmoniformes; Salmonidae. The record is from Rfam.
UCCACUCACUACUGUAAGUUGCUCUUGAUAAGAGCAUCUGCAAAAUACCUAAAA